CGGACACUCUGAAUCAUCAGUAGAGGUGCUUGAGAGGUUGAUGAAGCUCUUUUCGAAGUUUGGUAGGCUCACAACACUCGUAGCUCACUUUCUCACUUCUCGAACCCUAGGCAGAAACCCUAGGGUACACAAGAAAAGCCUGCGCCCACUUCUCUCUUCUUUUCUUUUCUUUUCUUUUCUUUUCUCACGCACAAGAUAUUUCUCAUGCC
RNAcentral lists this long non-coding RNA (209 nucleotides) under Elaeis guineensis (African oil palm). RNAcentral's name for it is "long non-coding RNA (EGUI_LNC044102)". Lineage: Eukaryota; Viridiplantae; Streptophyta; Magnoliopsida; Arecales; Arecaceae. The record is from RNAcentral.